RNAcentral lists this transfer RNA (71 nucleotides) under Rhineura floridana. RNAcentral's name for it is "tRNA-Leu". It matches the Rfam family "tRNA". Rfam says of the family: Transfer RNA (tRNA) molecules are approximately 80 nucleotides in length. Their secondary structure includes four short double-helical elements and three loops (D, anti-codon, and T loops). The record is from RNAcentral. Lineage: Eukaryota; Metazoa; Chordata; Lepidosauria; Squamata; Rhineuridae.
ACUUUUAAAGGAAACUAGAAACCCAUUAGCCUUAGGAGUUAACACUCUUGGUGCAAAUCCAAGUAAAAGUA